CACUCACACACACACACACUCUGUCUCACACACACUCACACACACUCACACACACACACUCUCUCACACCCACACACACACACACACACACACACACACACACACACACACACACACACACUCAGCAUGACUUUGUCACACAGGGAUCGUUUUUUUUAGAAUUAGAAAUUUUAGGUAAGAUUUCCCCCUUUUUUUAAGUCACAUCUACAUUCUUCAUCUCCUUUAUAAACAUUUACAUUUUGCUGAAUUGACUCUAAAUCAGUAAAAAUCACUAAAUAUUAUAAACAUAAACACCAUAAACACUAGAAAUAUACACAAUAUACACAAUAUACACAAUAUACACAAUAUACACAAUAUACACACACCCAAACACUCAGCGCCUCUCAGAUAACGCUGUAAACUGAAAUAUUGUAUAUUUUCCAUCCGACCUCAUCUGUGUGUAUGCAUGUGUGUGUAUGUGUGUAUGUGUGUGUGUGUGUGUGUGUGUGUGUGUGUGUGUGUGUGUGUGUGUGUGUGUGUGUGUGUGUGACCUUGCUGUUGUAACCUGAUUCAUGCAGACUGGACAGAUAUAACUCUGAAACUCAACUCCACUGUAGUGUCUGUGGUUUCAUGCAGACAAGACAAUGACACCAGCAAAAAAAAAAAGUGUGUGUGUGUGUGUGUGUGUGUGUGUGUGUGUGCGUGUGUGUGCGCAUGUGUGUGUGUGUUCUGUGACAGCGAGCACCGUCCUUGAUAAGCAAGAAGAGUGUGAAAAUACAAGGCUUCAGGAAAGGAUUUGCUGCACUCUGGGCUACCAACAAAUCCAAACAAACCAAAGUGUGUUAUGGUGUCCCAAAAGUGUCCAAACGCAGGAGAAAUGAAUACUUUUUAAGCAAAAUAUGACCUGUCUCCUGUUCACGAUCAACUCACUAUCGUGUGAAAGACGUAACUGCUUCUCGUUCGGUAUCUUCUCCUGUUACAUCCUGGUCUUCACAUCCAUCCACAGGUGAAAAGCUUUAGUCAAAGGCUACGUAUAAACCAGGCUGAGGAGAUGUUAACGUCCCUGCGUUUGGAGACGUCUGGGACACGAAUCUUUUAUCAGACUUUAGCGUUACUAAAAAAAGUAGAAAUGUGGCUUACUAAAGCUGCUUCACAUAAAACAUCCAAAACUGAAAAUUUGUUGUUUGCAAAUUUUGGAGCUAAUUAGUCAUUUGUUACUGAUAUGUUUGUAGCCCAGAAAUCUCCGAAAUCUCCUGUAUGUUAAAGGAGUCAUUUGUUACUGAUAUGUUUGUAGCCCAGAAAUCUCCGAAAUCUCCUGUAUGUUAAAGGAGUCAUUUGUUACUGACAUGUUUGUAGCCCAGAAAUCUCCCGUCAUUUCCCUGCAGCAUUAAACCCUGAGCCUGGUUUUCACACGUGGGUAACAUUAAAUUAGCUGAACUGGAUCGUCACGGACUUUUUUCUUCAACGCUGAUGUUGGAUCUUGUUACCAUGACGACAAAACUAUAAGCUCUAACCUGUUUAAAAUGUUCGGAUCAGGAGCCGGAAACUUGACUCUUUUUUGUCCGGGUGUUUGGAGAUUUAUUUUACUGACAGCCUGAUUGUCUAAAGCGGGUUUAGAGAGAAAGUCGUUCUCGUUACGUUUUUGUGAGGCUGACCCCAGGACAGAAUCCUUCUGUUUCCUGUUAGCAGAUAUGAGAAAGGGGUUUGAACUGAAUCACAGUUCAGCAGAGAAAGUGAAUCAGAUUGUGACUUUGUGGAGCCGAGAAAAGCCCGAGACGGUGUGAAGUGCCAUUUUUGACUCAGUACCUCCACUUGACUCGACACCAGAAAACAGUCAUCACCAAAAAUGCACACGAUACAAAAGUUUUGUGUUUUGCGUGUCUGCGUCUGGGCCUUGUGCUGAUCAUCAGUCACACAACCCACAUUUUACUCCAUUAUAUUGGGAGAGGAUCAUCGUGUUAUAGGGUGUCAUAUUUAUUUAAUUUAAUUUAUUUAAGCUUCUUUACAGAUGUCUAUGCUUUUUAUUUGCUUUCCAAAAAAAUGUUCCAUAUUUUUGUUUAUUUUUCAAACUGUUCUGAUGCUUACAGUGAAACGCUGUUGGGGUUUGUGUGAAACUCGGCAUCAUCAUUCAUCAUCACAGAGACUGUUACUGUAAAGCAAAGACUAACUAAUAAUAAUAAUAAUAAUAAUAAUAAUAAUAAUAAUAAUAAUAAUAAUAUAAUGACAAUAAACAGUCAACAGUUAUCACGAAAGCCAAACGUAACGUCGGCACACGCCAAAUCACGUCUCAGAUGUCACACUGGACUUCUUUUCUUUUUUAAGUGAUCUGCAUAUUCAUGAGUCUGGAUGUGACUCUGCACUAUAUCGAUUAAUGAGGUCUGGAUCUUCUUUAUUCAGAUGAUCACUGAGCAUCGUGGGUUCCACAGAGCCCACAUCGUACAAUCGAUCUAUACAGUGCAGGUCACCUACAAAUCACCAAAAGUCAGAAUUAUGCAACGACUGAUUCUUACUGCACUCUGUGAGACGGACGAUAAAAAAAAAGAAGAAAAAGAAAAAGAAAUCGCAAUUUUUAACCUUGUUCAAAAUUUUCGCAGGUGAAAAAAAGCUGCCUUAACUGUCGCUUCUGCACUCCAGCAGUCUGAUGUUAAAAAAAAUCAUUCACUUUGUAAAAAAAAACAAAAAAACAAAAACACAAGAGAAAAAAAAACACAAUCACGAUAUAAAAUUCAUGCUCUUGUUGAUGUAUAUAUUGCUUUUUUCCUCUGUGACUCGUUUGUGAUGGGGAUUCGCAGACGAGUCGACUCUUACGCGAAUCCGAUGAAAAACUAAUCAAAAGGUUCUUUCUGAUGCGAACAGAAAAGGAACCGGUUCCGUUCCAGUUUGUGGUCGUCGUGGUGACGAGCUGCUCGGUAGCGAAUCGAAACUGGAAUCAAAAAAUCCCUAAAGUGAGUCGACACACACGCGACUCUGGUUCUUUGUAUUUCGCGUCAUCUCCCCUCGUGUCGUAUUUCACACCAUCUGCCCUUGUAAAUCGUACUCGCGGAACAUUUUCUAGUAUUAUUUAUUAAUGACAAAGUGUUUGCAUUUGCAAAUAAACAAAAAGAAGGAAGGUGUCAUUUUGAACAGGGUAUCCUGCAGAGAGGCCUUCAGCUCACGUGUGUUCGCUUCUUUUCUAAAUUAAGGAAGGAAACAGCAGGAAAAAUAAUGAUAAUGAUCUUUUUGUCUUUUUAUUAUGAAAUUGUUAUUAAAAAAAAGUUGCCAAGUUUUGCUUUUAAAAACAAAUGUAUCUUUUUUUUUGUCUUGUAACAGUAUUUGUUUUGAACGAAUAAAUAGAAGCAAAAGCAACUUUUCCAUCUGA
Molecule: long non-coding RNA, 3337 nt
Organism: Tachysurus fulvidraco (yellow catfish)
Lineage: Eukaryota; Metazoa; Chordata; Actinopteri; Siluriformes; Bagridae
Exons: 2
Source: RefSeq, a predicted model, not a curated record